AACGAACGCUGGCGGCAUGCCUAACACAUGCAAGUCGAACGAGACCUUCGGGUCUAGUGGCGCACGGGUGCGUAACGCGUGGGAACCUGCCCUUAGGUUCGGAAUAACUCCCCGAAAGGGGUGCUAAUACCGGAUAAUGUCUUCGGACCAAAGAUUUAUCGCCUUUGGAUGGGCCCGCGUUGGAUUAGCUAGUUGGUAGGGUAAAAGCCUACCAAGGCGACGAUCCAUAGCUGGUCUGAGAGGAUGAUCAGCCACACUGGGACUGAGACACGGCCCAGACUCCUACGGGAGGCAGCAGUGGGGAAUAUUGGACAAUGGGCGAAAGCCUGAUCCAGCAAUGCCGCGUGAGAGAUGAAGGCCUUAGGGUUGUAAAGCUCUUUUACCCGGGAUGAUAAUGACAGUACCGGGAGAAUAAGCUCCGGCUAACUCCGUG
RNAcentral lists this ribosomal RNA (433 nucleotides) under uncultured bacterium. RNAcentral describes it as "partial 16S ribosomal RNA". It matches the Rfam family "Bacterial small subunit ribosomal RNA", at positions 29 to 507 of the family's 1533-position model. The record is from RNAcentral.